GAGGAAUAUUGGACAAUGGAGGCAACUCUGAUCCAGCCAUGCCGCGUGAAGGAAGACUGCCCUAUGGGUUGUAAACUUCUUUUGUAUAGGAAGAAACGUUAGUAUGUAUACUAAUUUGACGGUACUAUAAGAAUAAGGAUCGGCUAACUCCGUGCCAGCAGCCGCGGUAAUACGGAGGAUCCAAGCGUUAUCCGGAAUCAUUGGGUUUAAAGGGUCCGUAGGUUGUUAUAUAAGUCAGUGGUGAAAGUUUGCGGCUCAACCGUAAAAUUGCCAUUGAUACUGUAUAGCUUGAAUUAUUGUGAAGUGGUUAGAAUAAGUAGUGUAGCGGUGAAAUGCAUAGAUAUUACUUA
This 350-nucleotide ribosomal RNA is filed under the name uncultured bacterium. Its description in RNAcentral is "bacterial SSU rRNA". It matches the Rfam family "Bacterial small subunit ribosomal RNA", at positions 356 to 703 of the family's 1533-position model. The record is from RNAcentral.